ACACUGCUGAGGAGUCCCACCAUAGGACGAAGUGCUCGUCCAGUGC
Schistosoma curassoni is the source of this 46-nucleotide non-coding RNA. NCBI's taxonomy places the organism in Eukaryota, Metazoa, Platyhelminthes, Trematoda, Strigeidida, Schistosomatidae. The record is from Rfam.